AUGGAGCACACCACGAGCGCCGCGUCGCCGAUGGCCGCCUUGAUGCCCGCCUCGCCCUGCUUCUCCAGGUCGCACUCGACCAGCUCCAGCCUCGAGGCCGGGGCGCUCCCUUCGCCGAGCUCCAGCCGCUCCACGCUCUGCACGAGGGGCGACGCCCUCUCCUUGCUCCGGACGGCCGCGCGGACGCGGAAGCCAAGCUUGAUGAGCUCCCUACACGCGCAUGGCAUCAUUUCCCAAAUGCAUUACACAUGCAGCAGCGGACGGAACCGCAAACUGCCGGCGGCGAUCGAGCAGAGUCGAAGAGCAGUACCUUACAGUUCGGGAGCCGACCUUCCCCGUGGCACCGGCAACGAAGACGAGGUCCUGCUCCUUCACCGGCGCCGUGGCGGCCGCGGCCAUCGCGUAGACGCGGCCGGCGGGGAAGGAGCGAGCAGAGGAGGAGGGGCGAGCGAGCGAUAUAAGAGGAGCGCCAUGGUGAUACCCGCACCUGCGCGACCUGCGCGCAGACGCAGAGCACGCGAGCGGGCCGUUGCCGCCGGCGACGCGGCACCGGGGCAGCGGCGCCGACAGGGACACGGCGGCGGCCUUGGCCUCCAUGUCGAUCGAGCCGCUGUAGCUCUCCACCGCUCCAGUUACUCCCCGGACGUCACUCGGAUUCCCCUGAUCUCCGGCCCCCGCGGCGGCUGCUCGUGGCCUCGUAUCGCGUCGAGGGGCGAUGUGUGGUGUCCGACGUGGCGCGGCCGCGUGCUCCGGGCUGGGAUAACGUGGGGCCCUCUCCUCAUCCCCUCGUCCAGUGUCCAUGCAAGGAGUGAAGAGAACCGAGGUGGCAUAUGGGGACAUGGCCGGUCGUGCCGUGGAUGGCGACGCGGGCGCUGGAAAGGGCGCGCGCGGGCGUCCGGCUUGGAGCACGACGCCGUGCGUGGUGACUGCGUCCGCGCGUGCUCCACCAUUCCCUGUGCGUGGCGGAAGCUCGUGGCCGGGCUAAUUUUUGGAUGA
RNAcentral lists this ribosomal RNA (996 nucleotides) under Triticum aestivum (bread wheat). RNAcentral describes it as "partial small subunit ribosomal RNA". The record is from RNAcentral. Lineage: Eukaryota; Viridiplantae; Streptophyta; Magnoliopsida; Poales; Poaceae.